GCCAGGCAUGGUGGCACAUGCCUGUAAUCCCAGCAGCUUGGGAGGCUAAGGCAGGGGGAUCCCAAGUUCAAAGGCGAGGCACUAAGCAACUCAAUGAGACCCUGUCUCUA
RNAcentral lists this small RNA (110 nucleotides) under Marmota monax (woodchuck). The record is from RNAcentral. Lineage: Eukaryota; Metazoa; Chordata; Mammalia; Rodentia; Sciuridae.